UCGGGCGGAAGGCAGGAUACACCCUGGACAGGUCGCCAGUCCAUCGCAGGGCUAUAUAUAACAUUAAUAGCUUAAAUGAAGGAAUAAAAUCAGCUCUUCUUGUGUUCUCUGUGUUACAGUUCAAAGUUCUUGCAUGUAACUAAAACACAAAACUCUUACUGAUGUUUAUGUAAAAUUAAUACAAUAUCUAAGAAAAAAUCUUUGAGACCCAAGAAAAGUGAAUUUUUUCAUCUCUUGUGUAGUAUCAUUACUUCAUAUCAUCACCUCACCAUUAACAAAUGAUAGAUUCGUCAUACCAUAUGGCAUUUUCUCUAUGCUGCAAUUAACAUUCCCAGCUAUUUAGAGCUGUGUAUUACUUCAUACACAUCCAGAACCACAGACAGAAACAAAAUAAAUAAAUAACGGGACAUUAUGAAUCUCACAGGCUGGUGGAUUUGGACAUAUCAGUACUGAACCUGUUAAUAGGACUUUCUUCUCCAAGCUUGUUUAAUGCAUACAUCUUGUCACAUGGUUGUAACAGACUCAGCAGAGUAAUAGUGUAUGAUGAGUCCUUCAGUCAGGAGGAGGAGCUGAGUGUGUGUAGAGAGCAGAGAUGAUCCGCACACUGACAUGCUGACGAGCUCUAACUCAGUGUGUGUUCUUCUCUCAGUAAGUGCUGUUCACCAUGAUCAUCUUCCCUGUACUGUUGCUCUCAGCUCUUAAAGGUAACAGAGCUGAGGACGUCAUCACUUCAAGCAGAGACGUUGUUUUUGCUGUUGAAGGUCAAAAUGUUACACUUUCCUGUAACUACAUUGGAACUGCUUAUGGUCUUCACUGGUAUCGGCAGUAUUCAGGUUCACCUCCACAGUUCCUCAUACUGGACUAUAAUGGAGUUAUUACUAAAGCUCAACCUCCAGUUCCUGGAAUAUCAAUUAACCAUGUAAAAGAAAUGAAUAAAGUGGAUCUGAUCAUCUCCUCUGCUGCAGUAUCAGACUCUGCACUCUACUACUGUGCCCUGCAGCCCACAGUGACAGGAAACCCAGCUACACUGUACAAAAACACCCCUAUUAUACCCUUUACUAUCCACAACUUAAAGCGUUAGAUACUGUACAAAGCCUAGAAAUCAAUAAUGAUAUUUCUUUUCAGAAUCUACUGUAUGAAGAUUUAAACUUGAAGACUGAACACAUUUGACUUUGUCACUAUACACUACAUUUCAAACUGAAGAGAUUCUAAAAUGCCUUUGGGAUUGUCAAUUUGACACUAUGAUUUUGUAGAAUCUUGCCAGCAUUAAUCAAUAUAUUCAAUUUGGGAACAUAAUUCUGAUCUAAAUGACCUCUUAUGUGUUUGUAGUCUCAGGGUGCACAGAGAUGUAAUGAGGGAAACUGUCCACAGGAGGGAAGACUUCAUGUAGAUUUAACUGAACACUGAAACAGUUUUGUUCUUGUGUCUUAUGUGGUAGUUGAAGUAAAGAGAAGGACUGUUUAAAUAUGCUGAAGAUAAAAUAGCAGGUUCUGAGACAAAUAAUACUUAAUUUAUGCCUUUCUUUCCUGUUUUGUUCUAUGGAUUCUUUUUCUUUUCUUUUUUUUUUUUAGGUAACUCAUAUUAUUAAUAUGUAUGCUUAAACAACUUUUAAACAUGAUAUAUUUUACCUCAAGUGAUCAUAGAAUAGGUUAAUAUGGAGCCGUUUAAAAGAAUCAACUGAAAAUAAAAUAAAACAAUUAAUUAAAUGUCAUAGUAGUUAUUCAGGAAAGAUAUAUUUAUUUUUAACUGACUCAGAGCUGAACUGAUUCAUGAUCUUGAUCAGCGAGCAUAAAUAUGAACAAAAAGCUGUAUAAAAGAUCCAAAUCAAUAAUUUAACCAUAUAAAACAAAUGUUAUGGCAAAUAUACUCACACAUUGAUUCUAAUCCUAAGCAACUAUGCAACAACAACAGUGCCCUAUACACUAACUGCUCUGUGGUUUGUGGAAUUUUUUUUGUUUGUUUUUUUAACUAAAUAUUUGACUUAGACAGAUUGAAACUU
Molecule: non-coding RNA, 1999 nt
Organism: Pygocentrus nattereri (red-bellied piranha)
Lineage: Eukaryota; Metazoa; Chordata; Actinopteri; Characiformes; Serrasalmidae
Source: the annotation of a RefSeq genome assembly